GUGACAUCUUCCGAAUUUUCAAAGUGCUCUCAUUCCCUUAUUUCUGAUCGAAUCCUAUUAUAACCCGGUAUUUUCGUGAUGUACUUGAUGAGAGCAAUUCGCUGGUAUAGUUAGUUCAAAUUCGAAAAAAAAAAAUUUUUCUGAAAAAAAUCGAAACGGGGGGGUAUACCCGAAACAUGAAAAAACCCAAACUUUGAAGGCCGAUAUCUUGGCUUCUAAGGGAGCUAUCGGAAAAAUUCCAACGGUUUUAUCUUAGUUUCGUCCUUCUGAAUCCAACAAGACCAUCCACAAGGUCGUAGCUUUUACGAUAGCCGAGAUAUGGCAUUUUGAUGCCCAUUUUUGGCCUCAAAAACGAGAUCAAAAAGUGACAAUUUCCAAAUUUUUAAAGUGCUCUCAUUCCCUUAUUUCUGAUCGAAUCCUGUUAUAACCCGGUAUUUUCGUGAUGUACUUAAUAAAGAUAGAUAAGAAUAAUCCGCUGGUAUAGUUAGUUCGAAUUCGAAAAAAAAAAUUUUUCUGAAAAAAAUCGAAACGGUCGAAAUGAAAUCGAAAUGAAAUGAAAUCGAAAUGAAAAAACCCAAACUUUGAAGGCCGAUAUCUCGGCUUCUAUAGGAGUUAUCGAAAAGUUUCAACGGUUUUGUCUUAGUUUCGUCCUUCUGAAUCCAACAAGACCAUCCGCAAGGUCAUAGCUUUUACGAUAGCCGAGAUAUGGCAUUUUUGAUGCCCAUUUUUGGCCUCAAAAACGAGGUCAAAAAGUGACAUCUUCCGAAUUUUCAAAGUGCUCUCAUUCUCUUAUUUCUGAUCGAAUCCUAUUAUAACCCGGUAUUUUCGUGAUGUACUUGAUGAGGACAAUUCGCUGGUAUAGUUAGUUCAAAUUCGAAAAAAAAAAAUUUUCUGAAAAAAAUCGAAACGGGCUUCUAUGGGAGCUAUCGGGAAAGUUUCAACGGUUUUGUCUUAGUUUCGUCCUUCUGAAUCCAACAAGACCAUCCGCAAGGUCAUAGCUUUUACGAUAGCCGAGAUAUGGCAUUUUUGAUGCCCAUUUUUGGCCUCAAAAACGAGGUCAAAAAGUGACAUCUUCCGAAUUUUCAAAGUGCUCUCAUUCCCUUAUUUCUGAUCGAAUCCUGUUAUAACCCGGUAUUUUCGUGAUGUACAUGAUAAGAACAAUCCGCUGGUAUAGUUCGAAUUCGAAAAAAAAAAAAUUCUUAAAAACAUCGAAACGGGGGGGUAUACCCAAAAAAUAAAAAAUUCCAAAUUUUGAAGGCCGAUAUCUCGGCUUCUAUUGGAGCUAUCGGGAAAAUUCCAACAGUUUUGUCUUAGUUUAGUCCUUCUGAAUCCAACAAGACCAUCCGCAAGGUCGUAGCUUUUACGAUAGCCGAGAUAUGGCAUUUUUGAUGCCCAUUUUUGGCCUCAAAAACGAGGUCAAAAAGUGACAUCUUCCGAAUUUUCAAAGUGCUCUCAUUCCCUUAUUUCUGAUCGAAUCCUGUUAUAACCCGGUAUUUUCGUGAUGUACUUCAUAAGAACAAUCCGCUGGUAUAGUUAGUUCAAUUUCUAAAAAAAAAAAUUUUUCUGAAAAAAAUCGAAACGGGGGGGUAUACCCGAAAAAUGAAAAAACCCAAACUUUGAAGGCCGACAUCUCGGUUUCUAUGGGAGCUAUCGGAAAAAUUACAACGGUUUUGUCUUUGUUUCGUCCUUCUGAAUCCAACGAGACCAUCCGCAAGGUCGUAGCUUUUACGAUAGCCGAUUUAUGGCAUUUUUGAUGCCCAUUUUUGGCCUCAAA
Long non-coding RNA from Anthonomus grandis grandis, 1774 nucleotides. RefSeq lists it as uncharacterized. The transcript has 3 exons. NCBI's taxonomy places the organism in Eukaryota, Metazoa, Arthropoda, Insecta, Coleoptera, Curculionidae. The record is from RefSeq and is a predicted model, not a curated record.